UGGGGGAUAUUGCACAAUGGGCGAAAGCCUGAUGCAGCGACGCCGCGUGGGGGAUGAAGGCUUUCGGGUUGUAAACCUCUUUCGCUAUCGAACAAGGCCCGCUUAGGGUGGGUUGAGGGUAGGUGGAGAAGAAGCGCCGGCUAACUACGUGCCAGCAGCCGCGGUAAUACGUAGGGCGCGAGCGUUGUCCGGAAUUAUUGGGCGUAAAGGGCUUGUAGGCGGCUUGUUGCGCCUGCUGUGAAAACGCGGGGCUUAACUUCGGGCGUGCAGUGGGUACGGGCAAGCUUGGGUGUGGGAGGGGUGGCUGGAAUUCCAGGUGGAGCGGUGGAAUGCGCAGGAUUCUGGAGGGAACACGAUGGGCAAAGCAGGUCACUGGGCCAUUACUGACGCUGAGGAGCGAAAGCAUGGGUAGCGAACAGG
This 420-nucleotide ribosomal RNA is filed under the name bacterium. RNAcentral's name for it is "partial 16S ribosomal RNA". It matches the Rfam family "Bacterial small subunit ribosomal RNA", at positions 355 to 776 of the family's 1533-position model. The record is from RNAcentral.